GUGACGUUGUUAUGUUUGUAAUGGCCGCGAUUCUAUUAUUCUAUCUUCCCUAUACAAAAUAUUAAAUGAGAAAAAUUCAAUUUAAUAAUUAGCAUAUAAUAUCAAGUAUAUUAAGAUAAAAUAUAGAACAAGUAGUGUACUGCGCACUUGCUUACUAUGAAACCGCGAACAAUUCAAUUGACUACAUAAAAAAUUUCACGUUUUUCCUUUUUUUAAAAGUAAAAUAUUUUUAAUAUAAUUAAGCUGUGUAUUUUUAUGUAAACGCAUAUUUUUAGGGAUGUAAUUAAAAAAGCAGAACCUCGGUAAAAAAUUAUUUUACAUAUCAAAUAUUAUAGAAAGUAUUGUAUUUUGGAUUUUAUAUAUUUUUUUAUAUUAUGUGCAUUCUGUAUAAUUUUGUAUUUUUAAAUUUUUUAUAAAUGCAGAAAAAUCUGCAGUCUACUUAUAAUUCAGUGUAAAUUAUUAAAUAUUUUAUUGAAAUGUCUUUAUACCUAAAUAACUUUUAAUUUGUCAUGGAAAAUGUCGCAUAUAAUAAUUUUUGAUGUAUUAUCAUGUACAUUAAUGCUUUAUGUCAAAGAUAAUUAUUAAUUUAAACGAUUUAAAAAUACCUUUAUAAUGCUCUAGAUUGAAUUUAUUUUCCAUUUAUUUAAAUUAUCCCUUAUUUUGCGUAUGAAUUUUCUAUAUUUUAAUUACUUAGUUAAAGCUUCAAACAUUUUUUUUAUUUUAAUAUAAUAUUGUAAAAAUUAUAUGUAAAAAUCUUAAGAAAAAUUGUACGUAAAAAGGUAAGAAAUGAUAUAAAAAUUAUUUCAUGCAAAAGAAACGAAUGGUGGGGCAGUUUGAAAAGAAAAGAAGCUUUGGAAAAUUAUUUCAAUCAGAUGAGUUUUAAAUCAAGCAGUCGAAUUACAUUCAUGUAGAAAAAUCACGAAUAUUUAUUAUUUCUUCAUGAUUGAUUGCUAAAUAUAUUCUUUAUUUUAUAUUGAAAGUCAGUCCAUUCUAUGUUCAUUUGCAUAAUUCUUUCUCUGUAAAAAUGUACUGAGAGAAAAAUAAAACUCAAACCCAAAACUUCUGAAUAAUAGCGAGCAAUUUAGUCAGUAUUUUUGAUCUUUUUUAAGCU
Bombus terrestris (buff-tailed bumblebee) is the source of this 1111-nucleotide long non-coding RNA. RefSeq lists it as uncharacterized. The transcript has 2 exons. The record is from RefSeq and is a predicted model, not a curated record. NCBI's taxonomy places the organism in Eukaryota, Metazoa, Arthropoda, Insecta, Hymenoptera, Apidae.